RNAcentral lists this transfer-messenger RNA (358 nucleotides) under Verrucomicrobiota bacterium JB023. It matches the Rfam family "transfer-messenger RNA". Rfam says of the family: Bacterial tmRNA, also known as 10Sa RNA or SsrA, is named for its dual tRNA and mRNA-like properties. Its role is to liberate the mRNA from a stalled ribosome. To accomplish this part of the tmRNA is used as a reading frame that ends in a translation stop signal. Lineage: Bacteria; Pseudomonadati; Verrucomicrobiota. The record is from RNAcentral.
GGGGGCGCCAUGGCUUCGACUGGAUGUUGGCAAGGAUGGCUGCACGCGGAGGUUGAUCGGUUGGCCUCCUAAAAAGCCGAUCAAAAACAAUAAAUGCAGACUCUAACGAGCUCGCACUUGCUGCUUAAUUGACAGCAUCGGCCGCCCUGGAACGCCUGCUACCGGGGCCGCCGCUAAACAGCAGGCUGGCCGCAGCGCCGGGGGACCGGGCAACGCGGCGAGAUUCAACAGGUCCAUCGGAUGACCGGACGGGUCGGGCGAGGCCCGGACAUCUUAAACUAGAAACGCUCGACUAAUCGUGUAGACGCUUUCCCGAAAGGCAUCCAGGACAGGGGUUCGAUUCCCCUCGCCUCCACCA